Molecule: ribosomal RNA, 715 nt
Filed under: uncultured bacterium
Lineage: Bacteria
Description: bacterial SSU rRNA
Rfam family: Bacterial small subunit ribosomal RNA
Source: RNAcentral
GGGUGAGUAACACGUGGGUAACCUGCCCUAAAGUCUGGGAUACCACUUGGAAACAGGUGCUAAUACCGGAUAACAACAAUAGCUGCAUGGCUAUUGCUUAAAAGGCGGCGAAAGCUGUCGCUAAAGGAUGGACCCGCGGUGCAUUAGCUAGUUGGUAAGGUAAUGGCUUACCAAGGCGACGAUGCAUAGCCGAGUUGAGAGACUGAUCGGCCACAUUGGGACUGAGACACGGCCCAAACUCCUACGGGAGGCAGCAGUAGGGAAUCUUCCACAACGGGCGAAAGCCUGAUGGAGCAACGCCGCGUGAGUGAAGAAGGUUUUCGGAUCGUAAAGCUCUGUUGUUGGUGAAGAAGGAUAGAGGUAGUAACUGGCCCCUAUUUGACGGUAAUCAACCAGAAAGUCACGGCUAACUACGUGCCAGCAGCCGCGGUAAUACGUAGGUGGCAAGCGUCGUCCGGAUUUAUUGGGCGUAAAGCGAGCGCAGGCGGAAAGAUAAGUCUGAUGUGAAAGCCCCCGGCUUAACCGAGGAAUUGCAUCGGAAACUGUGUUUCUUGAGUGCAGAAGAGGAGAGUGGAACUCCAUGUGUAGCGGUGGAAUGCGUAGAUAUAUGGAAGAACACCAGUGGCGAAGGCGGCUCUCUGGUCUGUAACUGACGCUGAGGCUCGAAAGCAUGGGUAGCGAACAGGAUUAGAUACCCUGGUAGUCCAUGCCGUAA